AGUGCUGCUGCUGGAAACCAGAGUCUUCUUUUGUUUUCCCUCUCACCUCUGGCUGCCUCUCUCUCCCCUCAAAGGUCAGAGCAGUGCCAAGGACAGAAGAGAGAGUAGAUCCAGCCUUGGCCCUGCUAGGCUGGGCAGCCUGGCAGAUGGAGACUGACAGGAUCCUGGCUUGGGGGCCUUCCGGCAGGGCUGGCUGCUGGGCUGGCAGGCUCUGGCGCUCCCCUUCCCCAGAACUGACUUUGUUCCUGGCAGCCAUGGUGGCUGCACUAACCACAUUCUGCCUCCACCUUUGCACUAAGAAAAGCAAAUAAGCAGACCACAGAACUGUUUGCAUUUGCCCCAGAUGCUCCCUGGCUGCGGGAAGAGACACAGCAAACAGCAGUGCUGCGGAGGUAUGUCUAAUUGCAGAUACUUUUUGUUCAUCAUCGUAUUGAACGUCGUUGCGUGUUCCAGCAGCCAUCAACUUCCUCAGGAGGAAAAUUCAAUUGUGCACUGAGCGACAGCGUGAAGAGACCGGGCCAAGCAGGCAGGGUGCUGCAGGUCAACAAGGUGCUGCUGUGCUCCUGAAGCCUUCAGGAGCCUCAGCCUGAGAGCUCAGGAAAGGGUGGGGCUCCAACCCACCUGGCUUUCCGCCUUACUGAGCUCCAAACACAGGCUUGUUCCACAUCACGGAGAGCCCUUAUCCUGCAUGUGCGUCUCGCUCCCUGACAAGCCUAUUUGUGCCUUGUCACCAGAAAUGUACCUUUUUUCUUCUCUCAUCUGUCCCUGACACCCCCAGCUUAUCUAGCCUGAAGAGAGGCUAUCAAAAUGGUAAUAGCCAGAUGGAAAACAAGGAAAAAUAAGCCCUUUCCCAUAAGGAAGCAAUACGGAUUUUGGAACCGGAGAAAUUUCUACUAUUCUCCCAACAUCAUUCCCUCCGCCUUGGGUGUGCUUCCGAGAGGGUUGGAGGUGUCACCUGCCGUACCCUAGGACUGGCUGAGGGAAAACACACCUGAAGAUUUCCUGUAAAUGAAAAAGUGAAUCACUAAAAGGGGGAGCUGUCAUCCCCUGGCAUUUCUCUGUGCACAGGCGACCUAGUGUUGGGAUGGCAGCAGAACCCAGACAACUGAGCCAACACGUGGAGGGAAGCCCUCACUAGCCUGCAUUCGACUUGUGUGAGAGAGAAGUGAACGUUUACGUGCAAAGCCACUGAGCUUUUGUUGUUGUUCCUGCAGCACAGGGCAUUCUAACCUGCCUAAUACUGAAACGAGUACUGUUAGGCUUGAUCUGUGAAGAGGAGAACAUAAAAGGCCUGCAUAUUCUCUUUUAGGUCCUAAAAAUGCAGUGCUCUCUUCUUGGCCUUGCUGUGACCAGGCUGUUUAAAAUCUGUCACCCCGCCAGUCGCCACUGUAUUAUCUUGCUUUAUUUUUCUUCAUAGUAUUUAUUGAUAAUUUAUGUGCUUAUUAUGUCUCCCUGACUGGAAUGUAAGUUUCAUGAAGGCCAGGACUUGUGCCUUAAAACAGGGCCUGGCACAGAGUAGGCACUUAAUGUGUAUUUUUGAAAGUGAAUUGUGGGCUGAAAAUUCUGAUUUUUCAAAAAAGUUAAUAAAGGUGAAGGCCUUCCUUGCCUUUAUUAAA
RNAcentral lists this long non-coding RNA (1616 nucleotides) under Homo sapiens (human). Its description in RNAcentral is "tumor suppressor candidate 8". Lineage: Eukaryota; Metazoa; Chordata; Mammalia; Primates; Hominidae. The record is from RNAcentral.